UGGGGAAUAUUGCACAAUGGGCGCAAGCCUGAUGCAGCCAUGCCGCGUGUAUGAAGAAGGCCUUCGGGUUGUAAAGUACUUUCAGCGAGGAGGAAGGCGUUGUGGUUAAUAACCGCAACGAUUGACGUUACUCGCAGAAGAAGCACCGGCUAACUCCGUGUCAGCAGCCGCGGUAAUACGGAGGGUGCAAGCGUUAAUCGGAAUUACUGGGCGUAAAGCGCACGCAGGCGGUCUGUCAAGUCGGAUGUGAAAUCCCCGGGCUCAACCUGGGAACUGCAUCCGAAACUGGCAGGCUAGAGUCUUGUAGAGGGGGGUAGAAUUCCAGGUGUAGCGGUGAAAUGCGUAGAGAUCUGGAGGAAUACCGGUGGCGAAGGCGGCCCCCUGGACAAAGACUGACGCUCAGGUGCGAAAGCGUGGGGAGCAAACA
Molecule: ribosomal RNA, 427 nt
Filed under: uncultured bacterium
Lineage: Bacteria
Description: partial 16S ribosomal RNA
Rfam family: Bacterial small subunit ribosomal RNA
Source: RNAcentral